AUACAAGUUUCUUAUGAAAAUAAUCUACGGUGGCGUGAUACGCCAUUAGCUAGUUCAUUCCUAGGAUUACAUCAAAGUCCCCCGUGUUAAUCUCUAUUAGGUCCACACUCAAUUUUCUAUCUGCUAUAUCUAUAACAUAGGCUCUAUAUAUAACAUCCCCCCAGUAGUGUCCUACUCCCAGGAAUAGACACAAACAUCACAGAUUUAAGUCUUUCAGGUAAUACAUUCAAGUUUGUUAUAAAGGCAUGUGAAACAAAUAAAUAUGAGGCACCAAUAUCAAUCAAAACAUGUGCAAGAUGAUUACAGAUAGUGUACGUACCGUGUAUCACGUCUAUGUUGACUUCUGCAUCUUGCUGAGUGAGGUUGUAAGCCUUGCCCUAGAUAGGAGGUCUGGCCUGGUUCUGAUUUCUCAGGAACUCUC
Molecule: long non-coding RNA, 421 nt
Filed under: Carica papaya (papaya)
Lineage: Eukaryota; Viridiplantae; Streptophyta; Magnoliopsida; Brassicales; Caricaceae
Description: long non-coding RNA (CPAP_LNC002515)
Source: RNAcentral